GCGGACGGGUGAGUAAUGCUUGGGAAUAUGCCUUAUGGUGGGGGACAACAGUUGGAAACGACUGCUAAUACCGCAUGAUGUCUACGGACCAAAGUGGGGGACCUUCGGGCCUCACGCCAUAAGAUUAGCCCAAGUGGGAUUAGCUAGUUGGUGAGGUAAUGGCUCACCAAGGCGACGAUCCCUAGCUGGUUUGAGAGGAUGAUCAGCCACACUGGGACUGAGACACGGCCCAGACUCCUACGGGAGGCAGCAGUGGGGAAUAUUGCACAAUGGGCGCAAGCCUGAUGCAGCCAUGCCGCGUGUGUGAAGAAGGCCUUCGGGUUGUAAAGCACUUUCAGUAAGGAGGAAAGGUUAAGUGUUAAUAGCACUUAGCUGUGACGUUACUUACAGAAGAAGCACCGGCUAACUCCGUGCCAGCAGCCGCGGUAAUACGGAGGGUGCGAGCGUUAAUCGGAAUUACUGGGCGUAAAGCGUACGCAGGCGGUUUGUUAAGCGAGAUGU
This 501-nucleotide ribosomal RNA is filed under the name Pseudoalteromonas sp. WH203. RNAcentral describes it as "bacterial SSU rRNA". It matches the Rfam family "Bacterial small subunit ribosomal RNA", at positions 98 to 595 of the family's 1533-position model. Lineage: Bacteria; Pseudomonadati; Pseudomonadota; Gammaproteobacteria; Alteromonadales; Pseudoalteromonadaceae. The record is from RNAcentral.